ACCGAAAAGCCACUCACCUGAACCCCGCGUGGAACAUGAUCCUCGGACCCCCCAUGUCGUACUUGGAGGAGCUGAGGAAGCUGUCUUUGCGCAGCGACACAUAACUGAUGAGGGAGAGGAUGAGCAGAGCGACGCUGAGGAUGACCAGACCCAGGGCGUUCGCGAUACGCACCAUCUUGGUGCCUUCUCAUUCCCCUGCCAGGGCCUAUGCAGUCAUCGGAAGGGGGAGAUUUGGGGAAGAGCAUAUUUGUGGCUGAUCUCAAUGCUGUUCCGACUUGGCGAUAUCCACCAGCAUGUGACCCACUUUCAAGUUUACCUGAUGAUGUUUACUUCAGAGACGCUGUUGUAAUUCCUGUUUGGAAACCUGGACAUUUCUUGUUAUCUAAACCUUUGUCAGUCUCUCAGCCCUGGGCCAUGGAAAGAGACGACUGGUUUGGACAUCGAGGGCUUUCCACGGCAAAAGUAUGGCAUCGACUGUGGCAUCUCCAUGUUGAUGUAUGCCCUUUACAAAGUCAUGGAUGCACCCUUUGACUUCACUGUUACUGAUAUGCCAUCGUUGAGAAAAUGGUGGUGUAUCAUGCUGAUUGAAAAUCUUGACCUUGGAAGCCAUGGCAAACUCUUUGCCCACUGGACUGACGCAUCUAAGGCUCUUCUUCGGGGUGAGGUGCCACCAGUUUUUAAACUGAAGAAGAGAAGGCGAGAUGACAUUCAUGAGGGGCCACUUGACAACAUUGUGGCUGGAGUUGCCUGGCUGCGUCAGAAUGCAGGUUUGCUCAGGGGGAAGGUGGUCGAGCCCGCAUUUCCGAAUAUGGACGCAAAAGAACAGCAGGAGCUCCUGGAAAGGAUACGUUCUUCAACUGAUGAAGAAGAAAAGCAUCCCCUGCUCUUCACAUAUGAUUUUCAGGAAGACAUGGAGGUCUUCCUUAACAUGGCAGCUGAGGAGGAUCUUCGGGUCAACGCCAUGUUUCUGUGUGUGUGUGUGUGUGUGUGUGUGUGUGUGUGUGUGUGUGUGUGUGUGUGUGUGUGUGUGUGUGUGUGUGUGUGUGUGUGUUGAGGUUCUGAGUUCAGUUAUAUGUUGAGUGUUCUUAAUAAAGUGUUAUAACGUU
Molecule: long non-coding RNA, 1106 nt
Organism: Gadus morhua (Atlantic cod)
Lineage: Eukaryota; Metazoa; Chordata; Actinopteri; Gadiformes; Gadidae
Exons: 9
Source: RefSeq, a predicted model, not a curated record